Molecule: ribosomal RNA, 844 nt
Filed under: Bacillus cereus group sp. N31
Lineage: Bacteria; Bacillati; Bacillota; Bacilli; Caryophanales; Bacillaceae
Description: partial 23S ribosomal RNA
Rfam family: Bacterial large subunit ribosomal RNA
Source: RNAcentral
CUCGGUGAAAUUAUAGUACCUGUGAAGAUGCAGGUUACCCGCGACAGGACGGAAAGACCCCGUGGAGCUUUACUGUAGCCUGAUAUUGAAUUUUGGUACAGUUUGUACAGGAUAGGCGGGAGCCAUUGAAACCGGAGCGCUAGCUUCGGUGGAGGCGCUGGUGGGAUACCGCCCUGACUGUAUUGAAAUUCUAACCUACGGGUCUUAUCGACCCGGGAGACAGUGUCAGGUGGGCAGUUUGACUGGGGCGGUCGCCUCCUAAAGUGUAACGGAGGCGCCCAAAGGUUCCCUCAGAAUGGUUGGAAAUCAUUCGUAGAGUGCAAAGGCAUAAGGGAGCUUGACUGCGAGACCUACAAGUCGAGCAGGGACGAAAGUCGGGCUUAGUGAUCCGGUGGUUCCGCAUGGAAGGGCCAUCGCUCAACGGAUAAAAGCUACCCCGGGGAUAACAGGCUUAUCUCCCCCAAGAGUCCACAUCGACGGGGAGGUUUGGCACCUCGAUGUCGGCUCAUCGCAUCCUGGGGCUGUAGUCGGUCCCAAGGGUUGGGCUGUUCGCCCAUUAAAGCGGUACGCGAGCUGGGUUCAGAACGUCGUGAGACAGUUCGGUCCCUAUCCGUCGUGGGCGUAGGAAAUUUGAGAGGAGCUGUCCUUAGUACGAGAGGACCGGGAUGGACGCACCGCUGGUGUACCAGUUGUUCUGCCAAGGGCAUAGCUGGGUAGCUAUGUGCGGAAGGGAUAAGUGCUGAAAGCAUCUAAGCAUGAAGCCCCCCUCAAGAUGAGAUUUCCCAUAGCGUAAGCUAGUAAGAUCCCUGAAAGAUGAUCAGGUUGAUAGGUUCGAGGUGGAAGC